CCCUUAGAUGUUCUGGGCCGCACGCGUGCUACACUGAUGCAUUCAACGAGUCUAAAGCCUGGUCUGAUAGGGCUGGGUAAUCUUUUGAAAGUGCAUCGUGAUUGGGAUAGAUGAUUGCAAUUCUUCAUCUUCAACGAGGAAUGCCUAGUAAACGCAAGUCAUCAGCUUGCAUUGAUUACGUCCCUGCCCUUUGUACACACCGCCCGUCGCUCCUACCGAUUGAAUGAUCCGAUGAAUACCAUGGAUUGAGAGUACGAAUAGGUUCGCUUAUUUCUGCUGCUCGAGAAGUGGAGUAAAUCUUAUCAUUUAGAGGAAGGAGAAGUCGUAACA
RNAcentral lists this ribosomal RNA (330 nucleotides) under uncultured eukaryote. RNAcentral describes it as "partial 18S ribosomal RNA". It matches the Rfam family "Eukaryotic small subunit ribosomal RNA", at positions 1470 to 1796 of the family's 1831-position model. The record is from RNAcentral.